GUGCAGCAGCCGCGGUAAUACCGGCAGCCCGAGUGAUGGCCGAUAUUAUUGGGCCUAAAGCGUCCGUAGCUGGCCGAACAAGUCCGUCGGGAAAUCCACGUGCUUAACACGUGGGCGACCGGCGGAAACUGCACAGCUUGGGACCGGAAGGCUCGAAGGGUACGUUCGGGGUAGGAGUGAAAUCCCAUAAUCCCGCACGGACCACCGAUGGCGAAAGCACUUCGAGAAAACGGAUCCGACAGUGAGGGACGAAAGCCAGGGUCUCCAACCGGAUUAGAAACCCUGGUAGUCC
RNAcentral lists this ribosomal RNA (292 nucleotides) under uncultured bacterium. Its description in RNAcentral is "partial 16S ribosomal RNA". It matches the Rfam family "Archaeal small subunit ribosomal RNA", at positions 455 to 747 of the family's 1478-position model. The record is from RNAcentral.